UCGGACGGACCAUAUUCGUAUGGUUAGUGGCAGACGGGUGCGUAACACGUAGGUGACCUGCCCUCGAGUGGGGAAUAACGCGACUAACGUCGCGCUAAUACCGCAUAUGUUCACUCUUUCGCUAGGGUGAGUAAAGCAGCGAUGCGCUUGGGGAUGGGCCUGCGGCGGAUUAGCUAGUUGGUGGGGUAACGGCCUACCAAGGCGAUGAUCCGUAGGGGGCGUGAGAGCGUGGCCCCCCACAUUGGCACUGAGACACGGGCCAAACUCCUACGGGAGGCAGCAGUGAGGAAUAUUGCACAAUGGGCGAAAGCCUGAUGCAGCAACGCCGCGUGAGGGACGAAGGCCUUCGGGUUGUAAACCUCUUUUCUGGGGGACGAGUAAGGACGGUACCCCAGGAAUAAGUCUCGGCUAACUACGUGCCAGCAGCCGCGGUAAAACGUAGGAGGCGAGCGUUAUCCGGAUUUACUGGGCGUAAAGCGCACGCAGGUGGCUGUGCAAGUCGGACAUGAAAGCUCCUGGCUUAACUGGGAGAGGUGGUUCGAAACUGCACGGCUUGAGGUUGGGAGAGGGACGUGGAAUUCCCGGUGUAGUGGUGGAAUGCGUAGAUAUCGGGAGGAACACCAGUGGCGCAAGCGGCGUCCUGGCCACACCUGACGCUGA
Molecule: ribosomal RNA, 660 nt
Filed under: uncultured bacterium
Lineage: Bacteria
Description: bacterial SSU rRNA
Rfam family: Bacterial small subunit ribosomal RNA
Source: RNAcentral